Molecule: ribosomal RNA, 406 nt
Filed under: Salmonella enterica subsp. enterica serovar Newport
Lineage: Bacteria; Pseudomonadati; Pseudomonadota; Gammaproteobacteria; Enterobacterales; Enterobacteriaceae
Description: partial 23S ribosomal RNA
Rfam family: Bacterial large subunit ribosomal RNA
Source: RNAcentral
UAUAUUCUGUAGCAAGGUUAACCGAAUAGGGGAGCCGGAGGGAAACCGAGUCUUAACCGGGCGUUAAGUUGCAGGGUAUAGACCCGAAACCCGGUGAUCUAGCCAUGGGCAGGUUGAAGGUUGGGUAACACUAACUGGAGGACCGAACCGACUAAUGUUGAAAAAUUAGCGGAUGACCUGUGGCUGGGGGUGAAAGGCCAAUCAAACCGGGAGAUAGCUGGUUCUCCCCGAAAGCUAUUUAGGUAGCGCCUCGUGAAUUCAUCUCCGGGGGUAGAGCACUGUUUCGGCUAGGGGGCCAUCCCGGCUUACCAACCCGAUGCAAACUGCGAAUACCGGAGAAUGUUAUCACGGGAGACACACGGCGGGUGCUAACGUCCGUCGUGAAGAGGGAAACAACCCAGACCGC